Molecule: small RNA, 82 nt
Filed under: Liquorilactobacillus vini
Lineage: Bacteria; Bacillati; Bacillota; Bacilli; Lactobacillales; Lactobacillaceae
Also listed under: 1 other name
Description: Lactobacillus vini SAM-III sequence
Rfam family: SAM-III riboswitch aptamer (SMK box)
Source: RNAcentral
UAUUGUUACAGCACAUUCCCGAAAGGAUUCAUUUUUAAGUGAAGAUGCCUUGUAACCAAAUUUUUGAAUGGGGGAAUUUAUG